GCCCCGCGCUCCUCUCGGCUGCCGCCAUCUUGGUGCCUUGAGCGGCUGCCGGCUCCAUCCGCCGCCAUCCGUGUGCAUCCGCCGCCCCCCGCCCGCCGGGACUGAGCGGGGCCCCGCCGAACCGCCAUGAGGGCCAAGUGGCGCAAGAAGCGAAUGCGCAGGCUGAAGCGCAAGAGGAGAAAGAUGAGGCAGAGGUCCAAGUAACCGGCGCCGCCCCGCGGGGACACGGCCCGGUGACGCCCCGGUGCUGUCCCGGUGCCGCGGGGGGGUCCCGGUGCCGCGGGGGGGUCCCGGUGCCGCGGGGGGUCCCGCCGGGCCGCGCCCGUUCUGUGCUUUGCGGCGGCCGCCGUGCCGUGAAUAAAAGUUGAUUCUUGCUUACA
Oenanthe melanoleuca is the source of this 380-nucleotide long non-coding RNA. RefSeq lists it as uncharacterized. The transcript is spliced from 3 exons. NCBI's taxonomy places the organism in Eukaryota, Metazoa, Chordata, Aves, Passeriformes, Muscicapidae. The record is from RefSeq and is a predicted model, not a curated record.